GGCGAACGCUGGCGGCGUGCUUAACACAUGCAAGUCGAACGGUAAGGCCCUUCGGGGUACACGAGUGGCGAACGGGUGAGUAACACGUGGGUGAUCUGCCCUGCACUUCGGGAUAAGCCUGGGAAACUGGGUCUAAUACCGGAUAGGACUCCGGACUGCAUGGUCUGGGGUGGAAAGCUUUUGCGGUGUGGGAUGGGCCCGCGGCCUAUCAGCUUGUGGGUGGGGUGAUGGCCUACCAAGGCGACGACGGGUAGCCGGCCUGAGAGGGGGACCGGCCACACUGGGACUGAGAGACGGCCGAGACUCCUACGGGAGGCAGCAGUGGGGAAUAUUGCACAAUGGGCGCAAGCCUGAUGCAGCGACGCCGCGUGAGGGAUGACGGCCUUCGGGUUGUAAACCUCUUUCAGCAUCGACGAAGCGAAAGUGACGGUAGGUGCAGAAGAAGGACCGGCCAACUACGUGCCAGCCGCCGCGGUAA
This 478-nucleotide ribosomal RNA is filed under the name uncultured bacterium. RNAcentral's name for it is "partial 16S ribosomal RNA". It matches the Rfam family "Bacterial small subunit ribosomal RNA", at positions 28 to 523 of the family's 1533-position model. The record is from RNAcentral.